Molecule: transfer RNA, 111 nt
Filed under: Micrococcus luteus
Lineage: Bacteria; Bacillati; Actinomycetota; Actinomycetes; Micrococcales; Micrococcaceae
Description: tRNA-Gln
Source: RNAcentral
AGUGGCCGGCUGCCGUCAGCCGCGGAAUCAUGCGGUCAACCCGCACCAUGCGAGUCGGACGCACACCAGGGAUCCUGAAUCCCUGGGUCGCGGGUUCAAGUCCCGCACGCC